Molecule: ribosomal RNA, 250 nt
Filed under: uncultured bacterium
Lineage: Bacteria
Description: partial 16S ribosomal RNA
Rfam family: Bacterial small subunit ribosomal RNA
Source: RNAcentral
UACGUAGGUGGCGAGCGUUGUCCGGAAUUACUGGGUGUAAAGGGAGCGUAGGCGGGAAGCCAAGUUAGAUGUGAAAUACCGCAGCUCAACUGCGGGGCUGCAUCUAAAACUGGUUUUCUUGAGUGAAGUAGAGGUAGGCGGAAUUCCUAGUGUAGCGGUGGAAUGCGUAGAUAUUAGGAGGAACACCAGUGGCGAAGGCGGCCUACUGGGCUUUAACUGACGCUGAGGCUCGAAAGCGUGGGGAGCAAAC